RNAcentral lists this ribosomal RNA (119 nucleotides) under Triticum aestivum (bread wheat). The record is from RNAcentral. Lineage: Eukaryota; Viridiplantae; Streptophyta; Magnoliopsida; Poales; Poaceae.
GGAUGCGAUCAUACCAGCACUAAAGCACCGGAUCCCAUCAGAACUCCGUAGUUAAGCGUGCUUGGGCGAGAGUAGUACUAGGAGGGGUGACCUCCUGGGAAGUCCUCGUGUUGCAUUCC